CCCCUAGAUGUUCUGGGCCGCACGCGCGCUACACUGAACAGUUCAACAAGUCUUAACCUUGGCCGAUAGGUCUGGGUAAUCUUUGAACGCUGUUCGUGAUUGGGAUAGACCUUUGCAAUUAUGGGUCUUCAACGAGGAAUUCCUAGUAAACGCAAGUCAUCAGCUUGCAUUGAUUACGUCCCUGCCCUUUGUACACACCGCCCGUCGCUCCUACCGAUUGAAUGAUCCGGUGAGGCCCCCGGAAUGUGGUCACGGCUUUGGUUCGCCAAACUGAGAUCGCGUGAAGCUGUCCAAACCUUAUCAUUUAGAGGAAGGAGAAGUCGUANCA
This 328-nucleotide ribosomal RNA is filed under the name uncultured eukaryote. Its description in RNAcentral is "partial 18S ribosomal RNA". It matches the Rfam family "Eukaryotic small subunit ribosomal RNA", at positions 1470 to 1796 of the family's 1831-position model. The record is from RNAcentral.